CCUACGGGGGGCAGCAGUGGGGAAUAUUGGGCAAUGGGCGCAAGCCUGACCCAGCAACGCCGCGUGAAGGAAGAAGGCUUUCGGGUUGUAAACUUCUUUUCUCAGGGACGAAGCAAGUGACGGUACCUGAGGAAUAAGCCACGGCUAACUACGUGCCAGCAGCCGCGGUAAUACGUAGGUGGCAAGCGUUAUCCGGAUUUACUGGGUGUAAAGGGCGUGUAGGCGGGAAAGCAAGUCAGAUGUGAAAACCAUGGGCUCAACCUGUGGCCUGCAUUUGAAACUGUUUUUCUUGAGUACUGGGGAGGCAGACGGAAUUCCUAGUGUAGCGGUGAAAUGCGUAGAUAUUAGGAGGAACACCAGUGGCGAAGGCGGUCUGCUGGACAGCAACUGACGCUGAGGCGCGAAAGCGUGGGGAGCAAACAGGAUUAGAUACCCCUGUAGUC
This 443-nucleotide ribosomal RNA is filed under the name uncultured bacterium. RNAcentral's name for it is "partial 16S ribosomal RNA". It matches the Rfam family "Bacterial small subunit ribosomal RNA", at positions 338 to 795 of the family's 1533-position model. The record is from RNAcentral.